UGGGGAAUUGUUCGCAAUGGGCGCAAGCCUGACGACGCAACGCCGCGUGGAGGAUGAAGAUCUUCGGGUCGUAAACUCCUUUCGAUCGGGAAGAACGCCUUCGGUGUGAAUAUCACCGAGGAGUGACGGUACCGAGAGAAGAAGCCCCGGCUAACUCCGUGCCAGCAGCCGCGGUAAUACGGGGGGGGCAAGCGUUGUUCGGAAUUACUGGGCGUAAAGGGCUCGUAGGCGGCCAACUAAGUCCGACGUGAAAUCCCCAGGCUUAACUUGGGAACUGCGUCGGAUACUGGUUGGCUUGAAUCCGGGAGAGGGAUGCGGAAUUCCAGGUGUAGCGGUGAAAUGCGUAGAUAUCUGGAGGAACACCGGUGGCGAAGGCGGCAUCCUGGACCGGCAUUGACGCUGAUGAGCGAAAGCCAGGGGAGCAAAC
RNAcentral lists this ribosomal RNA (427 nucleotides) under uncultured bacterium. Its description in RNAcentral is "bacterial SSU rRNA". It matches the Rfam family "Bacterial small subunit ribosomal RNA", at positions 355 to 773 of the family's 1533-position model. The record is from RNAcentral.